GAUGAACGCUGGCGGCGUGCUUAACACAUGCAAGUCGAACGAAGCAUUUAGAACAGAUUACUUCGGUUUGAAGUUCUUUAUGACUGAGUGGCGGACGGGUGAGUAACGCGUGGGUAACCUGCCUUGUACUGGGGGAUAGCAGCUGGAAACGGCUGGUAAUACCGCAUAAGCGCACAAUGUUGCAUGACAUGGUGUGAAAAACUCCGGUGGUAUAAGAUGGGCCCGCGUCUGAUUAGCUAGUUGGUGAGAUAACAGCCCACCAAGGCGACGAUCAGUAGCCGACCUGAGAGGGUGACCGGCCACAUUGGGACUGAGACACGGCCCAGACUCCUACGGGAGGCAGCAGUGGGGAAUAUUGCACAAUGGAGGAAACUCUGAUGCAGCGACGCCGCGUGAGUGAAGAAGUAAUUCGUUAUGUAAAGCUCUAUCAGCAGGGAAGAUAGUGACGGUACCUGACUAAGAAGCUCCGGCUAAAUACGUG
This 481-nucleotide ribosomal RNA is filed under the name uncultured bacterium. RNAcentral's name for it is "partial 16S ribosomal RNA". It matches the Rfam family "Bacterial small subunit ribosomal RNA", at positions 28 to 507 of the family's 1533-position model. The record is from RNAcentral.